This is a long non-coding RNA of Cuculus canorus (common cuckoo), 760 nucleotides long. RefSeq lists it as uncharacterized. The transcript is spliced from 5 exons. The record is from RefSeq and is a predicted model, not a curated record. Lineage: Eukaryota; Metazoa; Chordata; Aves; Cuculiformes; Cuculidae.
AGGGGAUUCUGUUUGGAGCAUCAGCACAGAAAUGAUCCAGACAGAAGACAAACACUCGACUGCUGGCUUCCCUGUGCAACAAGAUACCGGGUAUUCGUAUGGCUGCAGAGUGAUGGCUUUGCGUCCCUGGUGCUCCAUCGGCAGCAGUCCAAACCCAAUCUGUAUGACAUAUAGAGGCCAUUUCAGCCUUUCGAGAGUGCAGCCAUCACGAAGUGGAAUAUAUCAGUAACCAUGCUGGAGCCGACCUUUGCAACCUAAGACGUUGGUGAUUUGUGGAGGCUUGUUAAAGUUGGAUCUUCCACACAAGAAGGACAUGGAUCUGUUAGAGUGUGUCCAGAGGAGGCCACAAAGAUGAUCAGAGGGCUGGAGCACCUGCCUGGGGUUGUUCCGCCUGGAGAAGAGAAGGCUCUGGGGAGACCUUGGAGCACGUUCCAGCACUUAAAGGGGCUCCAAGAAAGCUGGUGAGGGGCUCUUGAUCAGGGAGUGCAGGAAGAGGAACUGUUUUAAGCUGAAAGAGAGUUGUGUGGAGGAGACCCGUGUGCUGCGUGACCACGCUCUGCUUGCAUUGAAGUCCAUUUUCCCUGGAAGUAAACUCCAAAACUGAAAAAGCGAAAAAGGAACCCCCAAAUGGGAGGAGAAUAAGGGUCUGAUGUGUGCGUCACUGCGCAGUCUGCCCAGCUGCAGCAGCAGCCAGCUCCGUGCCAAAGGCUCCUCGGCUGAUCCGUGAAAAGAAUCAACAAGGCCUGUACUUAGCUGGGCU